GUGUCAGUGUAACAACGUCCUACCCCUGGUGUUAUUGGAUUGACAACUCGUAACUCGAGAUCGAUUAACCAGUCGAGCGUCAUGAUCGAUUCAGCGUCCGGAUAUAUCGACAGCCGGUACGUGUGAGCACAUCGACCGGACUCGGCCUCUUUCCUCAGUCAGCAGUGAACGAAGCAAGUCGCGUAGAGCUCCCGCUUGCGAGUAGGACGGCAAAUAGUCAGAUUCCACAAUGGCGAUCCAUGCCACGAGUUAUUUUUCUUCGCGUUUAUUUGAAUGCCAUCUGACUCGCAAGCGGGAGACUUUGCAAAGUGAGAUUUGUGUGCGUAGUUUAGUGCUAAAUAGAAGAUUAUUUAUAUCCUUAGGUAACAAGUGUGACAGACAUUUCGUUGAAACUAUUUUUGUGACCGCGUGUGAAGUGAGUGGUGGUUCGAGCAAGUGAAACCGGCGUCAGGAGCCGGAUAGUGAUUGCCUUGGGGAUCCGUCGGCGCAGAAACCUUGUGGUUUCGAGAUGGCUGGCCAAUAUGUACGCAUGCCUCUUCAAGAUAACCCGGAUGAUAUGGAGGAUUCACGAUCAGAAAGUGGAUUGAGUAUUACGGGUCCCGAAUCCACCCAGGAUGCAGCACAAGCUUCAGAGCCUACGGUACAGGAAUUCCCCGUACAACUGCCAAA
This is a long non-coding RNA of Aedes aegypti (yellow fever mosquito), 669 nucleotides long. RefSeq lists it as uncharacterized. The record is from RefSeq and is a predicted model, not a curated record. NCBI's taxonomy places the organism in Eukaryota, Metazoa, Arthropoda, Insecta, Diptera, Culicidae. The transcript has 2 exons.